This 253-nucleotide ribosomal RNA is filed under the name uncultured bacterium. RNAcentral's name for it is "partial 16S ribosomal RNA". It matches the Rfam family "Bacterial small subunit ribosomal RNA", at positions 524 to 776 of the family's 1533-position model. The record is from RNAcentral.
UACGUAGGGGGCUAGCGUUGCUCGGAAUUACUGGGCGUAAAGGGCGCGUAGGCGGCGCUGUUAGUCAGGCGUGAAAUUCCUGGGCUUAACCUGGGGACUGCGCUUGAUACGGCAGUGCUAGAGGGUGGAAGAGGGUCGCGGAAUUCCCAGUGUAGAGGUGAAAUGCGUAGAUAUUGGGAAGAACACCGGUGGCGAAGGCGGCGACCUGGGCCAUUACUGACGCUGAGGCGCGACAGCGUGGGGAGCAAACAGG